GCAUUCAGCAGCCUGUGGAGAAGAGUGCCCCUGAGGUCCAUGCCCCCGAGGUCCCUGCACAGAGCCCCCCAGCCGCGAGCCUCGCAGGUGCCGCCCAGAGCAGCGACGUGCCCCCAGGCAUUCUGUACAAGGUGCAGGCCCAGCACAACUACACGGCUCUGGAUUCGGACGAAUUGGGCCUCCAUCUUGGAGAUGUGGUGUUCGUACUGCCCCCCGACAGUGGUGACGAGCAGGAUUCCGGCUGGCUUCUGGGCAUCAAGGAAGCUGACUGGAUCACUCACAAAGAUCUUGAUGGACACAAGGGUGUGUUUCCAGAAAACUUCACCGUGCGCGUAGACUAAGCGCCACUCCAAGAGACUCGCGCACUAGUAAUGAUGUGCUGCCUCGGCAAAUUGCGAGUAAUACAGAUAUGAAAGUAAACUAGCCAGCCAUCUGUUUAAACCCUUCAAUGAAAAGGCGUUUAACUGGUUGAACAGUUUUCCUUCCGUAUCAAUGAGUUCCCAGUGGCGUUUCAGACUGAUUUGAAAUGUACUCGCUGGAAAAAAGUCUGUGGUUUGCUUUGAUUGAACAAAAUGCGACGAGAUACAUUGAUUUGGGUGGUCUGUUGAUCGAUAAUUUAAAUGUUAUUUCAUUUUGCCAAUUAAACAGUUGUCUUCGCCUGUUCAUGUAUUCAUUUAAACAAUUAGCUUAUUAAAGGAAAGUCAUCUCAUGGUAGCUUAGUGACUAAUUAGGAUGCAGUGUUUAAAAACACGUCACUCGCUUGUGACGUCUGUAAAACCAGAGGUGUGUACCAACUUGCCACCCGGCGAUUCGAUAUUUUCUUCCGAUUUGGGAGUCGCAAUUCGAUUGAAGAAUGUAUUUCCUUGUUUGUACCGUCUCGUUCGUUAUCCUGUGUAUGUUCGAUCUUGUUCGUUCAAUGAGCCUAACGUUCAUUCGUAUACAAUUUAGCAGCUUAUGGCGCCAUCCAUUUAGUACGUGCGCAUGGAGGGGGGAGGGGUUAACCAUAAUGCGUACGCUUGCGGAUGGGGGGGUCUACUGACAAUGUACGUACGCAUAGGAAAGGGGGGGGGGGGUGAAGCCUCGAUAAUUUGUCUUCAAAUGAGGUAGAGGGGGAGGGGUCAAGUUUUCACAGAUUUUUGCAUACGUACUAAAUGGAUGGCCCCUAUUUUAGUAGAUUAAUCGUCUGCUUAAUCUUAAAGGCCACUUGGCUUUUUUUCCCUUCGCUGUUUACCUCGCACCACUUAGAGCAGGAUGACUUACUGUUUGAUUGACAUUUCUGGCGUUUAACUUGAAAAUCAUUCAAGUUCACGAUUGAAAAAAACCCAUUAGUAGCAUUGUGUGACUCAUUGUUAAUUUAUCUGAAUCACAUAGACGAUCGGUAAUAAACAUCCAUUUGAUUUGCGAUAAACCUACUGUCAUUUGAGAAGGAGAGUUGUGAUCGAGCAACUUGAUACAUUUAAAACAACACUAUAUAACCACCGUCAACACCGUUCAUGAAAUCUCAAUAAUAAGAAUGAGAAGUCUGCCUUCUCAGACGAGCAAUGUGGCAGUGCUCACCUUAACUGCCAGUCCUAAGCCAGUUGUGGAAAUUCUGUAUGCAGUACCUUUGGUGGAGGCCAUUAUCUCAAUUAAACAAGCAUUGUAGACCUGGUAGCUGUCCUAAUUUUCGCCACCCUGAAAGAAUGAUGGGCCCGAAUUUAAUUUGCAAUCUUCCAAUUCUGAGCGAGGCGUCCCAACCACAGCGCCACCUCGCCAGAAAGCAAUGAGAAUAGGGCUGGUGCAUCUCCAUUUAGCUGUGAAACUAACACGACCGUAGCACCGAUUACAGGCUCCCAGUCUUUGGGGUGGCCUUGCAUCAUUGUGACUUCUAUAACUUUGUAGCUCUUCGAUGCGCUUACCGGUUGUACCGCUAGUUGUUCGGAACUAAUGUCCGAUGUUUGAUUCCACAUGCUGAGAACUUCUCCAGGAACUGAAUUGAGCUGGCAGAACGAGCUCCCAGCGUGUGGAGUGAAACGUCGGACGCCAAACCAAAAUGUCACAAUCCGAAAACAAGUCUGAGAGCCAAGCAGCACAACCGUGAACACUUUCGCUCAUGAGCAUAAUUGGCCAUUUGAAAAUGUUUGUAUUUGAAAAUAGCUACUGUGUGGUAAACCCAAAAACCAGCACAUUCGUCAAUAACAGUGGCCUUCAAAGAAAAAUGUGUAAUACGUGAUGUUUCAGAUAAUGGCCCUUCUUCAAAACACAUGUCGCCUAUUAUGUUAUUUUCUUUUAAGGCCACGGUGUGAUUGAUGAACGAGUUGAGUUUUUUUUGUUAAUUGUCCUUGUGCACCACUGCCAAAGACUGCAUCACCACAUAAUUUGUGUAUCUGUGUAAUAAGAUCAACUCACAUUGUUUGGUAAUGAUUGAUUUCAGGACGACAGCAGGCCACCCCAUGCUUUACCUUGUGACGUCCCAUGUGCAAAUUGUUUCAGAAGCUUCGCUUUUAAAUUGACAAAUACAAGUGCAAUAGUAUUCUUACCUAAUGCAUGUGGUUAAGACUUCUGUUCUUAUCUGGUAGUGUAACAACAAUGUACUCGGUGAACUUUAUUUAUAACAGCGCUUAUCUCGACACUGCUAAUGUUAUCGCAAGGGCUUCUGAUUUUGACACCACAGUUUCCGUAACUUCAUGUGGGACAUGUCAGCAUCCUUGAAUGUAACCUGUUAAUGUAUUGUCAUUGAUGAAUCCACUUGAUGUUUGUGGAAAUGGGCAAAAAAGCAGACACCAGCCUCGUGGUCCUACGUUUACUCAAACUAGAUAUAUUUUCCUUGGGUUCACCGCUCUAAUGAGUAACCAAUGCUGCUCCAUUGGGGUUGUCAACACUGGAUUAACUAGUAAUGCAUUAGCUCCUCCAGUUGUGAUUGUAGAUUUAAAGCAGCGGUUGCACAUUGUGGUUUAAAUUUCAAAUUGUGCAUGCCAAUGAGGAUUGCAGAAGGCAAAUUAUCUGGAUAGGGGGUGUAUUGUCAGUGAGAAAGUGAAGGCUUGCUGAAGGGAUUAUGUUGGGAAGUAAAUGCCAAGCGGUAGAGAAAUGUAAAGCGCUGCUUGACGAAUUGAAGAUGGAGCCCGUUAUGCCAAAAUCUGUAUGUUUAACUUCUUUCGCACCGUACGUAGUCAACCGUGCUAAUUGGAGGUGCGGGGGGAAGGACAACAAACUCAACACAAAACAGUGAAGAGGAAAUCGCAAGAUCAGAGAAGGCUGAGGAAACUUGAAACAAGAAUCUGCCCUUGGGCAGAUAACUCGACGACAGAUAGACAUAACACCGCGUGUCACAAUGCCAGCUCUCGCUGCCCGACGUGGGUACGCGUUUGCCAUGCGAUACCAACCACCGUGUGCGUGGAGUGCACAGUGGCUUCAUUCGCAGUACGGGAUAUAAAAAUGAUAGGUGAUAUAAAAAAAAGUUGGGCGUGGCGAAGGCGAGUUGAGAAAAGUUGAUGUGGAAUAUCGCACUUGCAUUGUUGACCCGCGAAAGCAAUAAGCAACCCCUGUUAAGCAUGUGUAUUGUACCGGGAAAUGUUACAUGCCCAAACGUCUGCUGAUAGUACAAUAUAGUGAAGUUCGCGUUGACUUUAUGUGCCGAAUGUAGCAUUGUUUCUCGUUCCUGUUAUUAAAUGUGUGCAUGUA
Long non-coding RNA from Lethenteron reissneri (Far Eastern brook lamprey), 3660 nucleotides. RefSeq lists it as uncharacterized. The record is from RefSeq and is a predicted model, not a curated record. Lineage: Eukaryota; Metazoa; Chordata; Hyperoartia; Petromyzontiformes; Petromyzontidae.